UGCAGUCGAGCGGAGACAGUGAGUAGCUUGCUAUGAGCUGUUUUAGCGGCGGACGGGUGAGUAGCGCGUGAGCAACCUUUCCCAGACAGGGGAAUAACACACCGAAAGGUGUACUAAUACCGCAUAAGACCACGGGAUCACAUGGUUCUGAGGUAAAAGAUUUAUCGGUUUGGGGUGGGCUCGCGUCCGAUUAGGUAGUUGGUGAGGUAACGGCCCACCAAGCCGACGAUCGGUAGCCGACCUGAGAGGGUGAUCGGCCACAUUGGGACUGAGACACGGCCCAAACUCCUACGGGAGGCAGCAGUGGGGAAUAUUGGGCAAUGGAGGAAACUCUGACCCAGCAACGCCGCGUGGAGGAAGAAGGUUUUCGGAUCGUAAACUCCUGUCCUUGGAGACGAGUAGAAGACGGUAUCCAAGGAGGAAGCCCCGGCUAACUACGUGCCAGCAGCCGCGGUAAUACGUAGGGGGCAAGCGUUGUCCGGAAUAAUUGGGCGUAAAGGGCGCGUAGGCGGCUCGGUAAGUCUGGAGUGAAAGUCCUGCUUUUAAGGUGGGAAUUGCUUUGGAUACUGUCGGGCUUGAGUGCAGGAGAGGUUAGUGGAAUUCCCAGUGUAGCGGUGAAAUGCGUAGAGAUUGGGAGGAACACCAGUGGCGAAGGCGACUAACUGGACUGUAACUGACGCUGAGGCGCGAAAGUGUGGGGAGCAAACAGGAUUAGAUACCCUGGUAGUCCACACUGUAAACGAUGAAUGCUAGGUGUAGGGGGUAUCGACCCCUUCUGUGCCGCAGUCAACACAAUAAGCAUUCCGCCUGGGGAAUACGGCCGC
RNAcentral lists this ribosomal RNA (824 nucleotides) under uncultured bacterium. Its description in RNAcentral is "bacterial SSU rRNA". It matches the Rfam family "Bacterial small subunit ribosomal RNA", at positions 56 to 889 of the family's 1533-position model. The record is from RNAcentral.